RNAcentral lists this ribosomal RNA (460 nucleotides) under uncultured bacterium. RNAcentral's name for it is "bacterial SSU rRNA". It matches the Rfam family "Bacterial small subunit ribosomal RNA", at positions 28 to 507 of the family's 1533-position model. The record is from RNAcentral.
GAUGAACGCUGGCGGCGUGCUUGAUACAUGCAAGUCGAACGGAGAGUGUAGCAAUAUACUUUUAGUGGCGAACGGGUGAGUAACGCGUUGGUGACCUGCCCCGAAGCGAGGGAUAACAGUUCGAAAGAACUGCUAAUACCUCAUGUGAUCACCGGUUUUAGAAUCUGGUGAUUAAAGGUGAAAAUCACUUCGGGAGGGGCCUGCGUCCCAUCAGCUAGUUGGUAAGGUAAUGGCUUACCAAGGCGAUGACGGGUAGGGGACCUGAGAGGGUGGCCCCCCCACAAUGGAACUGAAACACGGUCCAUACACCUACGGGUGGCAGCAGUAGGGAAUAUUGCAAAUGGGCGAAAGCCUGAUGUAGCAACGCCGCGUGUGCGAUGAAGGUCUUCGGAUUGUAAAGCACUUUUUGGAGGGAUGAGGAAGGACAGUACCUCCAGAAUAAGCCUCGGCUAACUACGUG